UGCUUUCAAAACUACUAGGCUAGAGUAUCAGAGGGGAUGGCGGAAUUCCUAGUGUAGAGGUGAAAUUCGUAGAUAUUAGGAAGAACACCGGUGGCGAAAGCGGCCAUCUGGCUGAUUACUGACGCUGUUGUACGAAAGCGUGGGGAGCAAACAGGAUUAGAUACCCUGGUAGUCCACGCAGUAAACGAUGAGUGCUAGAUGUUGGGGGUUUUUCCUCAGUGUCGCAGCUAACGCGUUAAGCACUCCGCCUGGGGAGUACGGUCGCAAGAUUAAAACUCAAAGGAAUUGACGGGGACCCGCACAAGCGGUGGAACAUGUGGUUUAAUUCGAUGCUACGCGAAAAACCUUACCAGAUCUUGACAUGAUAGUCGUACGGCUAGGAAACU
Molecule: ribosomal RNA, 386 nt
Filed under: Candidatus Lariskella arthropodorum
Lineage: Bacteria; Pseudomonadati; Pseudomonadota; Alphaproteobacteria; Rickettsiales; Candidatus Midichloriaceae
Description: bacterial SSU rRNA
Rfam family: Bacterial small subunit ribosomal RNA
Source: RNAcentral